This 492-nucleotide ribosomal RNA is filed under the name uncultured bacterium. RNAcentral's name for it is "bacterial SSU rRNA". It matches the Rfam family "Bacterial small subunit ribosomal RNA", at positions 30 to 513 of the family's 1533-position model. The record is from RNAcentral.
AUUGAACGCUGGCGGCAUGCCUUACACAUGCAAGUCGAACGGCAGCACGGGAGCAAUCCUGGUGGCGAGUGGCGAACGGGUGAGUAAUAUAUCGGAACGUGCCCAGUCGUGGGGGAUAACGUAGCGAAAGCUACGCUAAUACCGCAUACGAUCUAUGGAUGAAAGCGGGGGAUCGCAAGACCUCGCGCGAUUGGAGCGGCCGAUAUCAGAUUAGGUAGUUGGUGGGGUAAAAGCCUACCAAGCCUUCGAUCUGUAGCUGGUCUGAGAGGACGACCAGCCACACUGGAACUGAGACACGGUCCAGACUCCUACGGGAGGCAGCAGUGGGGAAUUUUGGACAAUGGGCGAAAGCCUGAUCCAGCCAUGCCGCGUGCAGGAAGAAGGCCUCGGUUGUAACUAGCUUAGUCUAGGAAAAGGGUAGGCGAGGUUAAGUAACCUCGUGCUUUGUAUGGUACUGGAAGAAUAAGACACCGGCUAACUACGUAGCCAGCA